CAAUAGCGUAUAUUUAAGUUGUUGCAGUUAAAAAGCUCGUAGUUGGAUUUCGGUUGAGAACGGCCGGUCCGCCGUUUGGUGUGCACUGGCUGGUUUCAACUUCCUGUAGAGGACGCGCUCUGGCUUCACGGCUGGACGCGGAGUCUACGUGGUUACUUUGAAAAAAUUAGAGUGUUCAAAGCGGGCUUACGCUUGAAUAUUUCAGCAUGGAAUAACACUAUAGGACUCCUGUCCUAUUUCGUUGGUCUCGGGACGGGAGUAAUGAUUAAGAGGAACAGUUGGGGGCAUUCGUAUUUCAUUGUCAGAGGUGAAAUUCUUGGAUUUAUGAAAGACGAACUUCUGCGAAAGCAUUUACCAAGGAUGUUUUCAUUAA
This 373-nucleotide ribosomal RNA is filed under the name uncultured eukaryote. RNAcentral's name for it is "partial 18S ribosomal RNA". It matches the Rfam family "Eukaryotic small subunit ribosomal RNA", at positions 592 to 976 of the family's 1831-position model. The record is from RNAcentral.